Long non-coding RNA from Ruditapes philippinarum (Manila clam), 1035 nucleotides. RefSeq lists it as uncharacterized. The record is from RefSeq and is a predicted model, not a curated record. The transcript is spliced from 2 exons. NCBI's taxonomy places the organism in Eukaryota, Metazoa, Mollusca, Bivalvia, Venerida, Veneridae.
CAGCUAUAUAAGUAGACGAGUUUGUCUUUAAAUUCAAAUUAGUUUUAUAAAACUACAAUAACGCAGCAAAGAAAAUAAAGUUAACAACUUUAUAUAAUUGAAUAUAUCAAGUUUGAAGAGUUCCUUGCCAUGCAAACUAGAAACGCAGCUUAUUUACUGAUAUGCCUUAUAGCAUUACAUAUGGUGUCGGAAAUUGCCACCCGACCACAAGCAAACUGCUGUCGGUACAGAAGGUGUCCUAUUGGGAAAAUGUGCGUAAAUAUUGGUUCCCGUUGUAGAUGUAAGAGUAAUCGUGUUAUUUCGGACUUUUUAGACAUGUUCAUGGGAUCUCCAAAGGAACAAAAACUUUCAAUAGAAGUUAGUGAGGAGGAUGAUCAACAGUUCUGGUAAUAAGAGGGCACAUCAAUUCCAACUGUGAUAUUCAACUUUGUGAUUAUUAUUACAACUAAAUAUCAAUGAACAUUUUUUAUUUUUACCACUUGUGUUCAUAUUUGAGUUCCUUUUGUAAUUUUAUUGAAUUUCUUAUGCUCGAACAUUAGUAUUUUAUAAUACUCAGUGGUGUAAACUUUAAUUGUGUACGAAACUAUGUACGGUAAAGUUUGCAUAAAUAAUGAUAUCGCUGUAUUCUUAUUGUGAUACUCUUUCACUAUUUGAAAGAAUUAUUAUCAUUAUAUACGUAACUUCUGUGAUCUUAAAUAGUAUUAUUACUAAAUGAUCUUUUUGUAGAGAUAUUGUUUGUGUCCAACGUAAUGAUGUCAAAUUUUUUAUCUUCUCGGAUGUUUAAUAUCUGUGUUGUGUGUUUUUAAGUUGAAAUCCAUGACUUUUAAAUUUUGCUUACUCUUUAUUUAUUUAUUUAUAAAUUUAUUUGAAAAUGGGUGUGAUAUUUUAGAUACAUGUUUUAUGUUCCAUUUUAUUUGCAAUCUAUAUACAGUGUACAUGUUCACAUAUUUCAAAUAUACUCAUUUUUUACAUUUAUUUGUUAGCCAUUUGAACUUUAUUGAAUAAUGAUCUAGAAAUAAAGAAGUUUAAUACUAA